Molecule: ribosomal RNA, 648 nt
Filed under: Lacticaseibacillus rhamnosus
Lineage: Bacteria; Bacillati; Bacillota; Bacilli; Lactobacillales; Lactobacillaceae
Description: bacterial SSU rRNA
Rfam family: Bacterial small subunit ribosomal RNA
Source: RNAcentral
GAAGGUUGAUUGGCCCCAUUGGGAUUGGAACCCGGCCCAAAUUCCUUCGGGAGGCACCCGUAGGGAAUUUUCCACAAUGGACGCAAGUUUGAUGGAGCAACCCCCCCUGAAGGAAGAAGGCUUUCGGGUCGUAAAACUCUGUUGUUGGAGAAGAAUGGUCGGCAGAGUAACUGUUGUCGGCGUGACGGUAUCCAACCAGAAAGCCACGGCUAACUACGUGCCAGCAGCCGCGGUAAUACGUAGGUGGCAAGCGUUAUCCGGAUUUAUUGGGCGUAAAGCGAGCGCAGGCGGUUUUUUAAGUCUGAUGUGAAAGCCCUCGGCUUAACCGAGGAAGUGCAUCGGAAACUGGGAAACUUGAGUGCAGAAGAGGACAGUGGAACUCCAUGUGUAGCGGUGAAAUGCGUAGAUAUAUGGAAGAACACCAGUGGCGAAGGCGGCUGUCUGGUCUGUAACUGACGCUGAGGCUCGAAAGCAUGGGUAGCGAACAGGAUUAGAUACCCUGGUAGUCCAUGCCGUAAACGAUGAAUGCUAGGUGUUGGAGGGUUUCCGCCCUUCAGUGCCGCAGCUAACGCAUUAAGCAUUGGUCUUGGAUUUAGUUGGGCACUCUAGUAAGACUGCCGGUUAUGACCUGGGCUACACACGUGCUAC